RNAcentral lists this ribosomal RNA (253 nucleotides) under uncultured bacterium. RNAcentral describes it as "partial 16S ribosomal RNA". It matches the Rfam family "Bacterial small subunit ribosomal RNA", at positions 524 to 776 of the family's 1533-position model. The record is from RNAcentral.
UACGGAGGGUGCAAGCGUUGCUCGGAAUUACUGGGCGUAAAGGGUUCGUAGGUGGCCGGUUAAGUCAGACGUGAAAUCCCUCAGCUCAACUGGGGAACUGCGUCUGAGACUGAUCGGCUCGAGUGCAGGAGAGGAACGCGGAAUUCCAGGUGUAGCGGUGAAAUGCGUAGAUAUCUGGAGGAACACCGGUGGCGAAGGCGGCGUUCUGGACUGCAACUGACACUGAUGAACGAAAGCCAGGGGAGCAAACGGG